CUACGGGACGCUGCAGUGAGGAAUUUUGCGCAAUGGGGGAAACCCUGACGCAGCAACGCCGCGUGAGUGAAGAAGGCCUUCGGGUCGUAAAUCUCUGUCAAGUGGGAAAAAAGUCUCUUGAUCAAUAGUCAAAAGAUUUGAUGGUACUACUAGAGGAAGCACCGGCUAACUCCGUGCCAGCAGCCGCGGUAAUACGGAGGGUGCGAGCGGUGUUCGGAGAUUACUGGGCGUAAAGAGCGUGUAGGCGGUAUAGUAAGUCAGAUGUGAAAGCCCUGGGCUUAACCCAGGAAGUGCAUUUGAUACUGCGAAGCUUGAGUAUGGGAGAGGAGAGUGGAAUUCCCAGUGUAGAGGUGAAAUGCGUAGAUAUUGGGAGGAACACCCGUGGCGAAGGCGACUCUCUGGACCAAUACUGACGCUGAGACGCGAAAGCGUGGGGAGCAAACAGGAUUAGAUACCCGCGUAGUC
RNAcentral lists this ribosomal RNA (465 nucleotides) under uncultured bacterium. RNAcentral's name for it is "partial 16S ribosomal RNA". It matches the Rfam family "Bacterial small subunit ribosomal RNA", at positions 339 to 795 of the family's 1533-position model. The record is from RNAcentral.